AUCCAGCUAACGAGUCCCAAAAAGGGCAAAACGUGCUUCCUGGAU
RNAcentral lists this non-coding RNA (45 nucleotides) under Schistosoma margrebowiei. Lineage: Eukaryota; Metazoa; Platyhelminthes; Trematoda; Strigeidida; Schistosomatidae. The record is from RNAcentral.